UUUUUUCUUCUCAGAUCCCAUAAUCCAUUUACAUAAUCAUAAACUCUGUAAUUGAACAGAUUAAAGAAUAGGCUGCCAUACAAACAUUACAACAAUCUUAGUAAUGUAGCUCUUGUGACAUUUCACAAAAAUGGCAUUUUUCUACACUUUGAGUACAAGAUUUCCUACAGAAGAUUUGUGCUGAAGCUUGAAACCCGUAAAACAAAAGACAAGACAAGCAAAUAAGGGUUAGAAACCAAAGCUCUAAGAACCAGAAUUCAAAAUGUGAUAAUCCUAUGAUGUUGAGCUACGCAUCUUAGCACAUUGGAAAGUGUCUCUCACUCUAUGAAUAUAAUUUCAAAACACGAUUUUAGUCUGCAAAACAAUUAGAAUCAAGUCGAUGGAACAAUGGCAUCUGAGAUUUUUUUUUCGAGAAUGCAGCGACUCGAGAUGGCAUCUCAGUUCGGCCUAGGAAGCAUGCGAGGCAGUGAAAAUUGGUGAGGCGCAAAUGCGUGAGCAUGUAGGGCGUUCUCCGUCUCUAUGUCAGAUUAUUCACGCCUCUAUACAAAUCAAUUUGGUUUACUAUCCUUAACAGUAUAAAGUUCAAAUCACUUUCCUCCCAAAUUAUUUACUUUUCGCAAUAUUGGUAUCUUCAGACCCAAAUAACAAAAUACUAUUACUAAGUAAAUUCAAGAGAGGUAAUGCAUGUAGAAAUACUAAGAAAUUAAGUGCCCCUUCAUGUGUGGACUGGUAGUAGGUUUUUACAAAAUAAAAAUUGCACUAUAUACAAAGAUAUCAGAGAAUUUGAAACUGACAUGCAUCCUAACAAGAGAAAAAAUAUCCCCAAACUCACAUGGGUAAGCAAAUUAAUUGUGGAUACGUAGAUCCUUUUACGUGUGCAUAGAAAUAACAAUAUAAAUGAAUCAACCAAGCCCCAGCAUGCUGACCUUAUAGAUGACUGCAAGGAAUUGUUUCUCUUGUUUCAUUGUGAUAGUGGAUAGGAUCAUCUCCUUUCUAGUGCCUACAAAGCAAAGACCAAUUGACAUAAGAUUGGAAACAGGCUAUGCCGCUAAGAAAGUGAGCUAGACGGGGUUGCUGACGGCAGAGACAUGCUAUAUGUACCAAGUAUGUAGACUGUAGUGAAGAAAUGCAUCAUGUUUAACAUCAGGACAUGCUAUGUAUUAAAUUGACAUUAAUAAUUUCCAGGCAGGCAAAUUCAAGAAAAAAUCUGCGUGAAUCUGAAUUGCACACUAAAUGAUUCAGAAUUGAAUCUAAGAACAAAACUAAGAGUGGUCCUCCAUCUAAACAAUCCAGAAGUACUCGUUAAACUGGAAUUAUUUAUCACCUUCACUUAGCUAUAGUAACUCUGAAGACUGAAUUUCAGAAACAACAAUUCUAAUAAUCAUUACAAGGGAAAUUACUCAUAUUCUUGUUUGAGGCUAUCGGUAGUAAGACUGGCGGGGUUUCCUUUGUUUUUAUUUCUUGGUGAAAUCCGACUAUCAACUCUCGAUGAGGAUAACUGGAAGUAGCUAACCAGCAGACUCGUAGCAACAACAAUGUGAAGUUUAUGGAUAUAUGACAUUUCUCAUUGCAAUUAAUGCCACUAAAUUUAUUGAUCCAUCAAAAUCAUGCAUAAGUACAAAAUAAAAUGAAUCUGAGUUGAGGGGAAUAAGGAUCAAACGAAAGAAUGAAUGGAUCGCGCACAUACCAUUCAUAAGUUCUUCUCUGGUUGGAAAUGGAACCCAG
Molecule: long non-coding RNA, 1725 nt
Filed under: Triticum aestivum (bread wheat)
Lineage: Eukaryota; Viridiplantae; Streptophyta; Magnoliopsida; Poales; Poaceae
Description: long non-coding RNA (TAES_LNC016333)
Source: RNAcentral